AAAACGACUCUCGGCAACGGAUAUCUCGGCUCUCGCAUCGAUGAAGAACGUAGCGAAAUGCGAUACUUGGUGUGAAUUGCAGAAUCCCGUGAACCAUCGAGUCUUUGAACGCAAGUUGCGCCCUAAGCCUUCUGGCCGAGGACACGUCUGCCUGGGUGUCACAAA
Molecule: ribosomal RNA, 165 nt
Filed under: Alyssum cacuminum
Lineage: Eukaryota; Viridiplantae; Streptophyta; Magnoliopsida; Brassicales; Brassicaceae
Description: 5.8S ribosomal RNA
Rfam family: 5.8S ribosomal RNA
About the family: 5.8S ribosomal RNA (5.8S rRNA) is a component of the large subunit of the eukaryotic ribosome. It is transcribed by RNA polymerase I as part of the 45S precursor that also contains 18S and 28S rRNA.
Source: RNAcentral